This is an RNA transcript of Labrus mixtus (cuckoo wrasse), 3486 nucleotides long. It is a transcript of the gene named DnaJ (Hsp40) homolog, subfamily C, member 3b, with no coding region annotated. NCBI's taxonomy places the organism in Eukaryota, Metazoa, Chordata, Actinopteri, Labriformes, Labridae. The transcript is spliced from 13 exons. The record is from RefSeq and is a predicted model, not a curated record.
GUGUGCCAACUUUAUCUCACUGUCAGCUGCUGAACUUUUAUACCAGCAUGCUACGUGAAGGUGUUUAAGUUCAGAGACUGUUUCAGCACCUUUUUUUUUUCUUCAAAGGCUGUUAAAGCUGAACGGUGUCAGGAGGAACCUUCGCGCUGCGUGCCUCAUUUUCAACCCGGAGUACUGUCUCAACGGGACCGUAAAUAUACCCACCAUCGUAGCUGCUUCUGUCGACCGACCCGGCGCAGGGAAACAAUGAGCAUUUAUCAAGAUUUAACACCGUUUCAAUGACACAACUCGUCAUUUUCACUCGACGUGAAAGCAGAGCCGCAAAGGGAGCAGCUUCCGGUGUAGCAGAGUGAAGUGUUUCGGGGAUGGAGUCGUUUCGGCGGGCAGGACUCAGCGGGGUCCUGUGCUCACUGUCAUUGCUGGGUGUCAUCCUGGACAUCCAGCUGGACGGCGUCUUAGGGGCGACUCAUGUCGAGAUCGAGCACCACUUGGAGAUGGGCCGCAAACUCUUGGCUGCCGGGCAGCUGGCCGAGGCCUUGUCCCACUACCACUCUGCUGUGGAGGGAGACUCCAAGAAUUACCUGACCUACUACAAACGAGCUGCUGUGUUUCUGGCGAUGGGAAAAUCUAAAUCCGCCCUGCCAGACCUAACCAGAGCCAUCCAGCUCAAACCUGACUUCCUGGCUGCCCGGUUGCAGAGAGGGAAUAUCCUGUUAAAGCAGGGCAACACACAGGAGGCCAUAGACGACUUUGAAGCAGUACUGCUGCGCUCGCCGGACCACGAAGAAGCUCAGGAGCAGGAGAUGAAAGCUAACGAGCUGGUGGAGCUGCAGGAGGAGGCACACGCUGCGUACCACCAGGGGGACUACAGCACUACGAUCAGCGUGCUGGAGAGAGUCAUUGAGAUCUCUCCCUGGGAUCCAGAGUCGCGGGAGCUUCGGGCAGAAUGUUUUAUCCGAAUGGGCGACCCACAGAAAGCCAUCCAGGAUCUGACGCCGACCACACGGCUACGCAACGACAACCGUGCCGCCUUCCUGAAGCUCAGCUUGCUGCACUACAGCCUCGGAGAACACCACGAGUCUCUCAAUCACAUCAGAGAGUGUCUGAAGCUGGACCAGGACGACAAAGAGUGUUUCAACCACUACAAGCAAGUGAAGAAGCUCAGCAAGCAGCUGGACGCUGCAGAAGAGCUCCUUGACAUGGAGAGGUACGAAGAAGCCAUUGAAAAAUAUGAAUCAGUAAUGAAGACGGAACCGAAUGUCCCAUUCUACACCAACCUGGCAAAAGAGAAGUUCUGUUUCUGCUUUGUCAAGAUCAAAUUGGCUCACGAGGCGAUAGACGUGUGUUCAGAGGCUCACCAGAGAGACCCCCGCAACGCAAACAUCCUCCGAGAUCGAGCCGAGGCGUACAUCCUCAACCAGGACUAUGAGAAAGCUGUCGAGGACUACCAGGAGGCGCGAGAGUUUGACGGCGACAGCCAAGAAAUCCAAAAAGGGCUGGAACGAGCACAGAAACUUCUGAAAAUGUCUCUCAAGAGGGACUACUACAAGAUCCUGGGCGUCAGCAGGAAUGCAAAUAAGCAGGAGAUCAUUAAGGCGUACAGAAAGCUGGCACAGCAGUGGCACCCGGACAACUUCCAGUCCGAGACGGAGAAGAAAGAAGCAGAGAAGAAGUUCAUCGACAUUGCAUCGGCUAAAGAAGUCCUCACUGACCCAGAAAUGAGGCAGAAGUUCGAUGCCGGCGAUGAUCCUCUGGACCCAGAGAACCAGCAGGGCGGCGGAGGAGGAGGAGGACAGGGCUGGCCUUUCCAUUUCGACCCCUUCCAGUCCGGUGGCAGCUUCCACUUCAAGUUCCAGCAUAACUAGAGAGAGAGAGACAAAGAACCUCCAGAACUUUAGAGGGGAUUCAUGGAGACGUCUUCCUCUGAAGCUCUUCUUUGGCUUUGACACAUUUGUUACUUGAACAUUUGAUUUGUAGUGCAGUAGAGGCAUGACCUGGAAACAAAAAAUGGGACUUCUUUUGAUAGAAAUAACAAAAAAACGAAGGACCUAACUGCUGAAGGAAGAAAAUGAAGUCUUGUGUCAACACGUCAGAGCCUGAAGACGGACAGUUUGUUGGGUUAAAAUGUCAAUGUGGGACAUUUGGGUUGUCUGCUCUAAUUUCUUUAUGUGCCAUUUUUUUUUCCUCCAAAGGACUUCUCUUCCUUUUAUAAUGCAGUCGCUCAUGCUUGGACGUCACACAGGAGGACUGUCUGUGUGUCGGUUUCUGCUCGCAGUAUUCUUCAAAAGGAAUUACACGUCUUUCAUUUUGACCCAUGUCAAACCCUCUCUGCAUUCAGAGAGCCAAGGUUUUUUUUUAUACACAGCCACAGCCUUGUUGAGCUUCUGCAGUAACGGUAAGUAGGUGAGACUUCAGGUUUUAAACGUUUUGAAAUCCUAUGGAUCUUAAAUAACAAUAAUGAAUAGUGUGUGAAUGCUGUGUCGUUGUAUCUUCAACAGGCUAUUUAUGCAGCUCCAAACUUUACUGAUAUCAUUUCUAAUUUAACACAAACACGGUCUGAACCGGAAAAAAAAGCUGAGCAAAAUGAAGACUGUACAAGAAACGAUUUCAUUUUCUUUUUUCGAAGCGCGUCUUUGAAAACUUGCACUUUUACUUUUUUUUUUUUUGGUUUACUUGAAGAGCCACUCCACAUGUUCUCCACUCCUGAAAUGUUACUGCAGCCUUCCAAAGACUCUUUUACAAAGUAUCUCAUCAGACUGUGGGAAACACAAAGGCUCCGUCUGAAACCCUUAAAGGCAGGGUUGGUCAUUUUUCAAAAACUAGCAUGAUUUUGAAAGUAGCAUUCCCUCAGUGCGCCCUCAACACCCACCAUCUCCCCUCUGUGCUCCCUCAAAAGCCACGCCCCCCUCACUUACAUGCACAAGCGCCAUUGGUCCAGAAGCGGAGCUCAGCUCAUGCUUUGAGUGUCGGGCUCGUGCAUGCAACGUGUGGAGAACGAGCAGGGAGGCGUCUGAUUGGUUCAUCAGAUUGGUACCUCGUGGCAGACAUUAGUCGAAGUGUUGACAGGCUUACAGCUGCUACAGAUGACGGAUUUUCUUUGUUUCUUUUUCCGAGCACGAGUUUUUAAAUGUCUGUCAGGAACUAAAGACAAUUUAAACCAAAAUCUGAAGAAAAAUGAACCCUGCCUUUAAGUUCCAGGGGAAAGUACAACUUUGUACACGAGGACGAGUUAGGCACACAACUGUUUACCUACAAACAAACAUUGGACAUCUCCAGCACAAACUAAGUUAUUUUAUUGAUAAAAUGAGAAACUGCUCGACUGUGUGAACCAAAUGUGACCGGCUCUUUGUAUUUAAAUGAUUUGAGUGGAUCUUUUCUUUUUCCGUUUUUUCCUUUCUUGGGUUUUCUUCUGUUUGUGGCUUCAAUUCUACUGUUGCCAAACCGAAUCAGCCAAUAUGCUAAAGCAUAUUAAAGAUAUUGACACAA